CAUAUCACGUUGAAACAUCGGUUUCCGUACGAUUACCGAAGUUAAACAACGUCGAGCCUGGCCAGUACUUAGAUGGGUGACCGCUUGGGAAUAGCAGGUACUGUAAG
Acanthosepion pharaonis is the source of this 107-nucleotide non-coding RNA. Lineage: Eukaryota; Metazoa; Mollusca; Cephalopoda; Sepiida; Sepiidae. The record is from the annotation of a GenBank genome assembly.